RNAcentral lists this long non-coding RNA (1213 nucleotides) under Monodelphis domestica (gray short-tailed opossum). RNAcentral describes it as "lncRNA (ENSMODG00000042369.1)". Lineage: Eukaryota; Metazoa; Chordata; Mammalia; Didelphimorphia; Didelphidae. The record is from RNAcentral.
CCCAACCCAGCUGCUUAUGUAGGUGACCUCUAGCCAUUCCCUGAUGACACGUGGUUAUUUGGACCUAGACAAAAAGUCCGCUGGCUGGAGAGAGCCACAAUUCUUCUGAGCCCCAGGACCUUCACAGCCAAGGCAGCAGAAGCAGCAGGAGAAAAGUUGUCACUCUGCUCAGUUGAACUCUCUCAUGUUCUCUUGACUGACCAUGUGAUCCAAGCAUCAAGGGAUUCCUAACAGAAUGAAAUCAUCAACGCACCUUUAAUAUAAAAGCAGCAGAGCGAAGGCAGGAGGACUGCCUGGUUCUCAGAUCAAGACGAUGAAAGCAGACAUUCAAAACCAGAAGACAUUUUGUGGUGCAUUUUCAAACGAACUUCAGACCCCUUGGAGUGCCGGUUUGAGAACACAGACAUCCAAGAAAUAUCUCCUUUUCUUCCUCCUCUUCUUCCUGUUCCUCCUUCUUUGUAAGGAGUCAGUGAGAUUCUUUGUUACAAAGGUUCCACUACUAAGACCAAGGUGCUUAUAAGACUGAGGCUGCUUCAUGAGUAUUUCACUCAAGACAAGCAUUUUUGGGUGGAUCUUGGCUGGCCAUCACCACCUCCAGAGAAGAGGAAGGGAAGAAGGAAACAUCUGGAAGUGACAGCAUUUCGUUCUGGACCUUGCCCACAUGAAUGAUGCACUAAGACAAUUCUCUGCCUUAUCAUAAAUUCUGCAAACUCAUGAACUUUGCAAUCUCUGAAGCUCGGCACUGUAUGGAAGCCACUUAUCUUGUGCUGAAAGCAAUAUAAAAACAGAUGGCAAAGAGUGCAUCGAGAGAUAAAUCAGCGGCCUCACUGCCAGGAGUUUGCGGACAAAUCCAACACAGCGAGACUCUCGGACAUGGGACUUGCUCAACUGGGGCAUUCCUGGGGUGAGGCAGCCUGGUCUGGUGGAGGAGGCAGAUGAAAGGCAGAGAGAGAGAGUCCUAUGUAGAGGAUUUUGAAGGUCCCAUCUCAAGCUGCCCCAGUUAAUCUUACCAGUCCUGGUCGGGGGAACCAAGCUGUGGGGCUAACAGAUGAUAUGGUGGCCCUCUCUAGGGUUACAACUAAGGCUGGCACCCCAAGGUGGGUCCUGCCUAAUACUUUGUUCCUGUAUUAAAGCCCAGUCAAUGACACCAGGAGAGUACUUUAGAAUGCCUACAGUGGUUACAGGAAGGUCAAAAGCAUAAGAGAACAAAGAA